RNAcentral lists this ribosomal RNA (274 nucleotides) under uncultured bacterium. Its description in RNAcentral is "partial 16S ribosomal RNA". It matches the Rfam family "Bacterial small subunit ribosomal RNA", at positions 523 to 796 of the family's 1533-position model. The record is from RNAcentral.
AUACAGAGGGUGCGAGCGUUAAUCGGAAUUACUGGGCGUAAAGCGCGCGUAGGCGGCUUAUUAAGUCAGAUGUGAAAUCCCCGGGCUCAACCUGGGAACUGCAUCUGAUACUGGUAAGCUAGAGGUGUGGAGAGGGAAGUAGAAUUUCAGGUGUAGCGGUGAAAUGCAUAGAGAUCUGAAGGAAUACCAGUGGCGAAGGCGACUUCCUGGCCAAAAACUGACGCUGAGGUGCGAAAGCGUGGGUAGCAAACGGGAUUAGAAACCCUAGUAGUCC